RNAcentral lists this ribosomal RNA (429 nucleotides) under uncultured bacterium. RNAcentral's name for it is "bacterial SSU rRNA". It matches the Rfam family "Bacterial small subunit ribosomal RNA", at positions 355 to 776 of the family's 1533-position model. The record is from RNAcentral.
UGGGGAAUCUUGGACAAUGGGGGCAACCCUGAUCCAGCGAUGCCGCGUGUGUGAAGAAGGCCUUCGGGUUGUAAAGCACUUUAGUUGGGGAGGAAGUCUUGUAGUUUAAGAGAUGACAAGAUUGACUGUACCCAAAGAAUAAGCACCGGCUAACUCUGUGCCAGCAGCCGCGGUAAUACAGAGGGUGCAAGCGUUAAUCGGAGUUACUGGGCGUAAAGGGCGCGUAGGCGGUCAUGUAAGUUGGAUGUGAAAUCCCUGGGCUUAACCUAGGAACUGCAUCCAAAACUGUAUGGCUAGAGUGUGGUAGAGGGUAGUGGAAUUUCCGGUGUAGCGGUGAAAUGCGUAGAUAUCGGAAGGAACACCAGUGGCGAAGGCGGCUACCUGGACUGACACUGACGCUGAGGCGCGAGAGCGUGGGGAGCAAACAGG